UACGGAAGGGGCAAGCGUUGUUCGGAAUCACUGGGCUUAAAGGGCGCGUAGGCGGGCAAGCAAGUCCGGGGUGAAAUCUUUCGGCUCAACCGGAAAAGUGCCUUGGAUACUGCUUGUCUGGAGGGAGGUAGGGGCAUGUGGAACUUCUGGUGGAGCGGUGAAAUGCGUUGAUAUCAGAAGGAACGCCGGUGGCGAAAGCGACGUGCUGGACCUCUUCUGACGCUGAGGCGCGAAAGCUAGGGGAGCAAACGGG
RNAcentral lists this ribosomal RNA (253 nucleotides) under uncultured bacterium. RNAcentral's name for it is "partial 16S ribosomal RNA". It matches the Rfam family "Bacterial small subunit ribosomal RNA", at positions 524 to 776 of the family's 1533-position model. The record is from RNAcentral.